Molecule: non-coding RNA, 107 nt
Organism: Helianthus annuus (common sunflower)
Lineage: Eukaryota; Viridiplantae; Streptophyta; Magnoliopsida; Asterales; Asteraceae
Source: Rfam
AACCCACGGUGUGGACAUUUUCGAAGAAGAUUUUUAAAACGUUCUCAUGUUUCAUAUAAAGAUUCCCCAUCUUUUUUAAGAAAAGAGUUAAUUUCAGUCAAUAGUUU